GCCAAUUCUCUAGCCUGACAAACAACUAUACAACCCUAUAAACUUAUUUCCCUCUUUUUAAAACAUUUUAUUAAUUAAGUAAAGGCGAUAAAAAAAUUUCUUAGAGCAAUACAAACAGUACCGUAAGGGAACGAUGAAAUAAAAAUGAAACAACUUUCAAGCAUAAAAAAGUAGAGCUUUCCUCUUGUACCUUUUGCAUCAUGGUUUAACUAGUUCCUUUUAGGCAAAAAGACUUUUAGUCUAACUCCCCGAAUCUAGGCGAGCUACUCUAAGACAGCUUUUUAGAGCCAACUCAUCUCUGUUGCAAAAGAGUGAGAAGAUCUUAUGGUAGCGGUAACAGACCAAACGAGCCUAGUGAUAGCUGGUUGCUUUUCAAAAGGAUUUUAGUCCAACUUAAAGUUAUUUAUAUCAUUAAAAAUUUUAAUUUUAAAGUAAUUCAAAUAAGGUUCAGCCUAUUUGAAAAAGGAUACAACCUCUACCACUGGGUUACAUGCAGUAUAAAAACAAAGUAGGCUUAAAAGCAGCCACCUCAAAAAGCGUCAUAGCUUAAUCUAAAGCAUUUUUAUAAUUCCUAAAACUUCCCUCAACCCUUCAUCACCAAAAAGCAAUUCCAUAUUCUUAUAGAAAAUUUUAUGUUAAAACUAGUAACAAGAAGUUAACCUUCUCUUAAAUGUGCCUGUAAAUCAAUACGGAUACCCCAUUGAUAAUUAACGUUUAUAAACCCAUAGUAACCCACCCCCACGAAACCCCUACUAUCAUUAACGUCAACCUAACACAAGAACAUUAAAAGAAAGAUUAAAAGAUAAAGAAGGAACUCGGCAAAUAUUAGCCUCGCCUGUUUACCAAAAACAUCGCCUCCUGACCAAUUAUAAGAGGUCAAGCCUGCCCAGUGACAUUGUUCAACGGCCGCGGUAUCCUAACCGUGCGAAGGUAGCGUAAUCACUUGUUCUUUAAAUGAGGACUAGUAUGAACGGCUUCACGAAAGCUAUACUGUCUCCUUUAUCCAAUCAGUUAAACUAAUCUUCCCGUGAAGAAGCGGGAAUUUAUUUAUAAGACGAGAAGACCCUAUGGAGCUUUAAAUAUUUUUAAACAUUCGAAUUUUACAUUACUAUUUCAGAAAACUUUACUAAGCCCAUCGUUUUGUUUUAAGUUUUAGGUUGGGGUGACCACGGAGUAUAACUUAACCUCCACGCAGAAAGAGACUUUUCCUCUAAGCAAAAAGCUACACCUUUAUGCAUCAAGAAAUUGACCUUAAUUGACCCAUUAUUUGAUCAACGAACCAAGUUACCCUAGGGAUAACAGCGCAAUCCGCUUUAAGAGCUCCUAUCGACAAGCGGGCUUACGACCUCGAUGUUGGAUCAGGGUAUCCUAGUGGUGCAGCAACUACUAAUG
Molecule: ribosomal RNA, 1392 nt
Filed under: Allobates humilis (Bocono rocket frog)
Lineage: Eukaryota; Metazoa; Chordata; Amphibia; Anura; Aromobatidae
Description: partial 16S ribosomal RNA
Rfam family: Bacterial large subunit ribosomal RNA
Source: RNAcentral